CAUGAACCGCUUCCUUCUUGGA
This 22-nucleotide microRNA is filed under the name Ananas comosus (pineapple). Its description in RNAcentral is "microRNA s0200_c072". Lineage: Eukaryota; Viridiplantae; Streptophyta; Magnoliopsida; Poales; Bromeliaceae. The record is from RNAcentral.